This 750-nucleotide ribosomal RNA is filed under the name uncultured crenarchaeote. RNAcentral's name for it is "bacterial SSU rRNA". It matches the Rfam family "Archaeal small subunit ribosomal RNA", at positions 82 to 816 of the family's 1478-position model. Lineage: Archaea; Thermoproteati; Thermoproteota. The record is from RNAcentral.
CAAACAGCUCAGUAACACGUGGCUAAUCUGCCCUUAGGACGCGAACAACCCCGGGAAACUGGGGCUAAUUCUCGAUAGGUGAAGAACUCUGGAAUGAGUCUUUGCCUAAAAGAGCUUACGUUAUGCUCGUAAGUUUCGCCUAAGGAUGAGGCCGCGACCGAUCAGGUUGUUGGUGAGGUAAUGGCUCACCAAGCCUUUUACCGGCGCGGGCCGUGAGAGCGGGAGCCCGGAGAUGGGCACUGAGACAAGGGCCCAGGCCCUACGGGGCGCAGCAGUCGCGAAAACUUUGCAAUACACGAAAGUGUGACAGGGCUAUCCCGAGUGCCAUCCGCUGAGGAAGGCUUUUACCCAGUCUAGAACGCUGGGGGAAUAAGGAGAGGGCAAGUCUGGUGUCAGCCGCCGCGGUAAUACCAGCUCUCCGAGUGGUGUGGAUGUUUAUUGGGCCUAAAGCAUCCGUAGCUGGCUAGGUAAGUCCCCUGUUAAAUCCACCGAAUUAAUCGUUGGAUCGCGGGGGAUACUGCUUGGCUAGGGGACGAGAGAGGCAGACGGUAUUUUUGGGGUAGGGGUGAAAUCCUAUAAUCCCAGGAAGACCACCAGUGGCGAAGGCUGUCUGCUAGAACGCGCCCGACGGUGAGGGAUGAAAGCUGGGGGAGCGAACCGGAUUAGAUACCCGGGUAGUCCCAGCUGUAAACGAUGCAGACUAGGUGUUUGGACGGCCACGUGCCGUUCUAGUGCCGCAGGGAAGCUGUU